Long non-coding RNA from Tupaia belangeri chinensis (Chinese tree shrew), 2073 nucleotides. RefSeq lists it as uncharacterized. The transcript has 4 exons. Lineage: Eukaryota; Metazoa; Chordata; Mammalia; Scandentia; Tupaiidae. The record is from RefSeq and is a predicted model, not a curated record.
GAGCCAUGAAGGUUCCUGAAAUCCAGCUGGACUCCAGGGUUCAUCCACUGGGAGGAAACUUGCAUUCCCUCAACUCUUAAGUAAAUUGAAACCUGGUGAAUAAUUAACCUCUCCCUUCUAGCCUAUUUUUUUCCUCUAAGAAACAUUAAAUCCCAACCUGUCAAAGAUCAGUUUUUGUCCAGCAGGAUCGGAAUGACAAAGGGAGUUCUGGGAGAAGCUGGGCCUUUUAUCACCACUUCAAGUCCUAGCAACUCUGAAGGUCUGACUCCUAGAAACCCCUCCAGGGUUUCAACUUCUGCUGCCUUCCGAGCUGCUUCCCAGGUCUCCUUCCGUGUCUCCUCACCCAAAAUUGAGCUGUCUUGAGCCCUCCCUGACAUUGAGGAUCCUGUUCCCUACUUUGGCGACAGCUUGGCCCUGGCUACUGAGCAGGCUGCUGCUGGCUAGUUUGUGGCUCUCUGCACGGGCUGGUAAAUAUUUGGCCAGUCUUGGCUCUUUUACACAAAAGAGCAGAGCUUCUAAUCUGUGUGUGCAUCGGGUAGCGGCCACCAACUCAACCUUUGCCGACCUGGCCUCUCUGGGAUGGGAGGACUUUUCCGAGGUCAAGUUGAAACUACUCUCCAAAUGAGAGUGAAUGGGGACUUGCUGAUUAUUUAAACAGUUUCGUCUGGCCUGUACACUGAUUUGCAUGCAUUUUUACAACUUCCUCUGUUGGAGGCAGGGCAGACCCAGGUGCACGAGCAGCGAGGACGCUUCCUGCUCCAGCUGGCCCGUCCUUCUCAUCAACCUCAGGAGUCAGCGGGGGCGUUCAUCUUGGAGGCGUUUCUAAGAUCCCCGGCUGCCAGGUGGAAAGCUCUCAUCACCCGAGAACAUGGCUGUGUGCUUGGUACUCACGAGACCCUGUCUGCCAUGGCCCUCCUUCCCGGCUGGCCAGCCCCUGCUCCCUGGACUCUGACCCAUCCUGCCUCUGCUGUGCUUCUAUACAGCUCUCCCAGAGAUGAUUUGUUUAUGUAUUUAAGUUUAUUCAUGUUCUUCAUGACAGAGGGCUUGUGUGCAUGAGAGAAGCACCUUGACGGCCUUGUCGUGCUGCAAUCCUCUUUCCCCCGCCCUCCCGCUCAUCAGGAUUCUGGGCACACAAGCAUGUUUUCAAGCUGACCCUGGGAUCCGAACCUGCAGAUGGCCAUGAGGCCCCAGCUUACCAUCAACUGUGCCGCCAGGCAGGGCCCCCAGAGACUGUUUCUAAGUGACUGAAUUUGCUCAAGAGCCCCCGCCUUCUUCUGUCCAGAGGAAGGAACAACUUCCAGGAGUACACUCAGCAGAGCGCUCUGGCUGCCUGGCACGAGAAGACACCCAGUGAGUGGCAGUUGCACCGCGGAGCUCAGGACGGUUCCAGCAUGGUGGAUGGUGCCUCCCAUCCUGAUCCUACCAGAUGGUCAUUCCCAGCAUUGCUCUGUGGCCGUCCUGCCCCGAUGAACCCUUUUGAGAUGAUGUCUCUGAACUGGGAAAGCUAUCCCCUCACCUUUGUCCUGGGUUCCUCUCUGGUCUGGCUGCUGGGAUUCAGUGCUCAUGGAGGCAUGCUUCCCCACUGGGGAGUUUGUCUUACAAGUCCCCAUGCCACCAUUGGCUCCAAGGCACCCCACUGGGCCUGGGCCAGAGGAACUGCUGCAGAACUCCUCCCACCCUGCCCGCUGCUUUGGGCUGCACGGCCAGGCACAGGCAGGAGGUCUCUCUGUUUGGCCUGACUGGCAGGGAAGCAAUCAGUGCUCUGCCUGUGCCUAGUAACAUCACAGGAAGGCAGACUUUGGGUUGGAAUGAGCCUUGAGGUCACCCCGAUGGCCACUACGGAGUCUUCUGGAGGUAGGAAAGGGCAAUACUGUGACCCCUGGGUAUGUGGAGACGUGGUGGUCAUCUCUUGCUUUCCAUGGCUCUUUAUUCUGCUGCUGCUACUUCCUUCAGGAGGUCACCGGUAUCGCUGGGGUUCCGGUAGAGCCAACACUACCCCGUGGCUUAGGCAUAGGCAUGUGAUAUAGGCAUGGAUGUGGACUCCCCCUUGGGACUUCUGCAGCAGCUCUAGAA